CUAACGUUGACCCGUGAUCCGGGUUGCGGACAGUGUCUGGUGGGUAGUUUGACUGGGGCGGUCUCCUCCUAAAGAGUAACGGAGGAGCACGAAGGUUGGCUAAUCCUGGUCGGACAUCAGGAGGUUAGUGCAAUGGCAUAAGCCAGCUUGACUGCGAGCGUGACGGCGCGAGCAGGUGCGAAAGCAGGUCAUAGUGAUCCGGUGGUUCUGAAUGGAAGGGCCAUCGCUCAACGGAUAAAAGGUACUCCGGGGAUAACAGGCUGAUACCGCCCAAGAGUUCAUAUCGACGGCGGUGUUUGGCACCUCGAUGUCGGCUCAUCACAUCCUGGGGCUGAAGUAGGUCCCAAGGGUAUGGCUGUUCGCCAUUUAAAGUGGUACGCGAGCUGGGUUUAGAACGUCGUGAGACAGUUCGGUCCCUAUCUGCCGUGGGCGCUGGAGAACUGAGGGGGGCUGCUCCUAGUACGAGAGGACCGGAGUGGACGCAUCACUGGUGUUCGGGUUGUCAUGCCAAUGGCACUGCCCGGUAGCUAAAUGCGGAAGAGAUAAGUGCUGAAAGCAUCUAAGCACGAAACUUGCCCCGAGAUGAGUUCUCCCUGACCCUUUAAGGGUCCUGAAGGAACGUUGAAGACGACGACGUUGAUAGGCCGGGUGUGUAAGCGCAGCGAUGCGUUGAGCUAACCGGUACUAAUGAACCGUGAGGCUUAACCUU
This 709-nucleotide ribosomal RNA is filed under the name Escherichia coli. RNAcentral describes it as "partial 23S ribosomal RNA". It matches the Rfam family "Bacterial large subunit ribosomal RNA", at positions 2222 to 2925 of the family's 2925-position model. Lineage: Bacteria; Pseudomonadati; Pseudomonadota; Gammaproteobacteria; Enterobacterales; Enterobacteriaceae. The record is from RNAcentral.